AAGAAACGGGUCAUCUCGUCUGAC
RNAcentral lists this non-coding RNA (24 nucleotides) under Arabidopsis thaliana (thale cress). The record is from RNAcentral. Lineage: Eukaryota; Viridiplantae; Streptophyta; Magnoliopsida; Brassicales; Brassicaceae.